This 285-nucleotide long non-coding RNA is filed under the name Gossypium barbadense (sea-island cotton). RNAcentral's name for it is "long non-coding RNA (GBAR_LNC016253)". Lineage: Eukaryota; Viridiplantae; Streptophyta; Magnoliopsida; Malvales; Malvaceae. The record is from RNAcentral.
UGACACUCAUUUCCCCGCGAUUGCUCGACACAAGGCCAGCUCUCCUUCGAGCUCCUCUAUUCUUGUGAUCAAAGCCUUUGUCGUGGCCAUUGUUUCCUCCGUCAAAGCCAUCAUCAUGGCCUUGAGAGCAUCGUUCGUCUCCGUCAGCUUCUUCCUUUAGGAAUCUAGCAACUCUUGCACGCUAUCCCUUUGGGAAGUGAGACACAUGGUCACAAAGUCCUUAGACUGCUCCCUCAAGUCUUUAAUGCUUUCCUCAGGCGCAUUGUCCGACUCUUUUGCAUCCUC